Molecule: unclassified non-coding RNA, 253 nt
Filed under: uncultured Planctomycetota bacterium
Lineage: Bacteria; Pseudomonadati; Planctomycetota
Description: uncultured planctomycete contains 16S-23S intergenic spacer region
Rfam family: Bacterial small subunit ribosomal RNA
Source: RNAcentral
UACGGAUGGUGCAAGCGUUAUUCGGAAUCACUGGGCAUAAAGAGCACGUAGGCGGCUGCGUAAGUCAGUGGUGAAAUCCCUCGGCUCAACCGAGGAACUGCCAUUGAUACUGCGUGGCUAGAGUGUGGGAGGGGCAGACGGAAUUCCAGGUGGAGCGGUGAAAUGCGUAGAUAUCUGGAGGAACGCCGGAGGCGAAAGCGGUCUGCUGGCCCACGACUGACGCUGAGGUGCGAAAGCUAGGGGAGCAAACAGG